CUUAAAGGAUUGACGGGGGCCCGGCACAAGCGGUGGAGCAUGUGGUUUAAUUCGAUGGUACGCGAGGAACCUUACCAGGGCUUGACAUACGUUGGAAGCGCAUCGAAAGGUGCGUGCCGCUUGCGGCCGGCGUACAGGUGCUGCAUGGCUGUCGUCAGCUCGUGCUGUGAAGUGUUGGGUUAAGUCCCGCAACGAGCGCAACCCCUAUUGCUAGUUACCAUCAUUAAGUUGGGGACUCUAGCGAGACUGCCAGUGAUAAACUGGAGGAAGGUGGGGAUGACGUCAAAUCAUCAUGCCCCUUAUGACCUGGGCUACAAACGUGAUACAAUGGCUGGAACAAAGGGAUGCGAAGCAGUGAUGUGGAGCGAAACCCAUAAAAACAGUCUCAGUUCGGAUUGAAGUCUGCAACUCGACUUCAUGAAGUCGGAAUCGCUAGUAAUCGCGGAUCAGAACGCCGCGGUGAAUACGUUCUCGGGGUUU
This 480-nucleotide ribosomal RNA is filed under the name uncultured Acholeplasma sp. RNAcentral's name for it is "bacterial SSU rRNA". It matches the Rfam family "Bacterial small subunit ribosomal RNA", at positions 900 to 1382 of the family's 1533-position model. The record is from RNAcentral. Lineage: Bacteria; Bacillati; Mycoplasmatota; Mollicutes; Acholeplasmatales; Acholeplasmataceae.